Molecule: long non-coding RNA, 648 nt
Organism: Stegodyphus dumicola
Lineage: Eukaryota; Metazoa; Arthropoda; Arachnida; Araneae; Eresidae
Source: RefSeq, a predicted model, not a curated record
AUCAUCUUUCUUACUUUAAAACAAAAAUUCAACAAUAGCGAGGCAUUUCAUUAUAAAUUUAACAUAUUUUUACUGGAAAAUACAUGCACGGAACAGCUUAGAAACACGUACAUGUCAUUGAUGUAAUGCGAUGUUUUGAGGUCACAAACAUGGACGCCGCUUGUUCGGCGGAGGUUUCAUUCCCCUAUAGUGGAGGACACGGCGAACCCUCCCUCCUUCUAUUCUAACCUCCUUGGUUUGCGCGCAGAGAAAUACGCGCUUGAUAUCCUUGUCAAACGUUUCAGAGAAAGAAUUGGCAACAUUAUUUUCAAGGUUAUCAUACAUGUGUUUACGAAGUAAACAAUGUUAGGCAAGCGGUUGAUUUUGGUGUGAUUUAAAUUCAGUUUUGUAUUUAAUUUAAAAUUCAGAUGCAGUUGUGGAUGGCUAAGUUUUUAAAAUUAAAUUAUUUUGUGAAGUUUGCUCGAACUACAAAUAUUAGGAUACCAGUAUGUCAUUCAAGUUCAGUAUCGUUAACACAGCAAGAAGUUGCUACUGCUCUGAGGCCAUUUUAUUUUGUUGUGCAUCCUGACCUUUUUUAUCAGUUUCCGAAAGAAAAGAUUUAAACUGAUGAUCUAUAAUCCGGAAAAAUCGAUAAUCCGGAAUCGCCGA